AAUCUGGAGACAGGUGCUGCAUGGCUGUCGUCAGCUCGUGUCGUGAGAUGUUGGGUUAAGUCCCGCAACGAGCGCAACUCUUGCCUUUAGUUGCCAGCAGUUCGGCUGGGCACUCUAAAGGGACUGCCGGUGUUAAACCGGAGGAAGGUGGGGAUGACGUCAAGUCCUCAUGGCCUUUAUGACCAGGGCUACACACGUACUACAAUGGCCGAUACAAAGGGCAGCGACACUGCGAGGUGAAGCCAAUCCCGUAAAAUCGGUCUCAGUCCGGAUUGGAGUCUGCAACUCGACUCCAUGAAGUUGGAAUCGCUAGUAAUCGUGGAUCAGCAUGCCACGGUGAAUACGUUCCCGGGCCUC
RNAcentral lists this ribosomal RNA (357 nucleotides) under uncultured Desulfobulbus sp. Its description in RNAcentral is "bacterial SSU rRNA". It matches the Rfam family "Bacterial small subunit ribosomal RNA", at positions 1025 to 1381 of the family's 1533-position model. The record is from RNAcentral. Lineage: Bacteria; Pseudomonadati; Thermodesulfobacteriota; Desulfobulbia; Desulfobulbales; Desulfobulbaceae.